GUGCCAGCCGCCGCGGUAACACGUAGGAGGCGAGCGUUAUCCGGAUUUACUGGGUGUAAAGCGCGUGCAGGCGGCUGGAAAAGUUGGAUGUGAAAGCGCCCGGCUCAACUGGGCGAGGUCGUUCAAAACUAUCCGGCUGGAGCAUGGUAGGGGAAGGUGGAAUUCCGGGUGUAGUGGUGAAAUGCGUAGAGAUCCGGAGGAACACCAGUGGCGAAGGCGGCCUUCUGGACCAUUGCUGACGCUCAGACGCGAAAGCUAGGGGAGCAAACGGGAUUAGAAACCCGAGUAGUCC
This 292-nucleotide ribosomal RNA is filed under the name uncultured bacterium. RNAcentral's name for it is "partial 16S ribosomal RNA". It matches the Rfam family "Bacterial small subunit ribosomal RNA", at positions 505 to 796 of the family's 1533-position model. The record is from RNAcentral.